GGAGUUGGCAGGUCUGUUUUGUCCCUGACCUCCCUCGACAGCAAGAAACCAAUGGAUGAGCCUCAUUAGCAUCCUCACUGCUGCCAUUCCAGAGAGUGACCAGCCCCAUGAAGACAACCUUGGAAGAGUAGUGUGCAGUUCACUGCUGUAGGCUUUUUGACUGCAUCAAUACAAAGUGCUGUAUGCAUUUUUUAAGGAAAUACUGCGUCAAGCAGCAGAGCAACGCUGUCAUUUUGCAAGUUGUUUUGCUACAAAUAUGUUCUUAUAAUGGAGUUCAGGAUGUGUCUGCUCAUGUAUAGGUCCCAUUUUACAAUACUUGUGUGCAAUCUAGUUUUCUUAUGAAAAAGGGCAAACAGGUAGUCUGCAAGACAUUGCUGGAGUGUCAGGGAAUGAUAGAAAGAUUGGUUUUUGUUCUUUCAACAGGAAACAGACUUUUGGGAUAAAGAUGAGGAAGAGUGAGUUUUAAUUAAAAUCCUCUCAGCUUAUCUUCUCACUCAAGGGAACAUGAUUUUUCAACCAUUAAAAGCAACUGGAGCAUUGCAGUCCUUUUUCUGGAAGGAAAAAUAGGUCCUAAUAGAGUUAGGUUUACACUGUGCAAUUCAGAAAUAUGCAAAUGUGCUUCACUUGCUUUGCCUCUGUUACAGUAUUGUGCUCAGGAUGCAGUCUUUCCCCUCCGACAUUUUCAACAGGGGGCUGCACAGGAUGGCUAGCCCUUGGGGUGCACACACAGCCAAUUUUGCCAAAAUACCCUGGAUAACGGAGGACAUGAGUGUAAGUUGUGUGUGUGUGUGUAACAACCAACACCUGUCAUGCUAGAGAAGAUGACCGUCAGCUGGAUGAAACAGGAACCAUGGAAAUAUAAGGAAACUCUGGAGAAAGGAAUUAACUGGAAGAGGAAGGAGGCUGAGCACCAGGGGGUGGGGGUCAGAGGGCCAUUGGCAGGCCUCGUGGCUGGGACACAAGUGUAGCUUCUUGGGCUAAAAAGGAGCACAAUGGGAAGUGACACUGAAAAAUCACAGUGUGCCAGAGAGGCUGUUGGUGACAAACAUGGGGUGAAGCAUGCCUGCGUUUGGGGAUGGAGAAACAGAGCAGUUUUAGUGUGCAUGAGGGGACCCAGUUCUUUACUUGGUCAUCCCAACAUAUCCUGUGAUGCUUCACUGUUCCAGUGCACGGAAACUGGAUUCCUUUAGAGGGAAAAUAAGCUGCUCCGGGUGUCUGCAGGAGAGGAGAGCGUGUGUGUCCAAACCAACAGCUCUUUUUCAGCCAGCUCUGAGCCAUGUGCACAGUUGUUCAGUCAGGGUACCAAACUGUAGGCCAAAACAAAACCCUCCAAGCUGCCUCUAGUGUAGCUAUGAGGAUCCACUUGUUUCAACAAAAUAAUCAUUUCCUUUUAUGCUAAUUUACAUGUUAAUGGAGAUAGAACCCAAAGUAAAUUACGGUUUGUGGAACUCAGUAUCCUCAUAAACAACUUUUUGUUAUGUAGGUAAAAAUUAAUGUAAAAAAUGGGAUUGAUCAAACAGCAAAACAAUUUUUUAAGGAAGUCUUCAUUGCUUUGGAUGUCUUGAAUGGUAUUAUCCAUGUUAAAAAAUAAAAUAAAUCAGAAUUCAAGUUGCA
This is a long non-coding RNA of Anser brachyrhynchus (Pink-footed goose), 1614 nucleotides long. The record is from Ensembl. Lineage: Eukaryota; Metazoa; Chordata; Aves; Anseriformes; Anatidae.